Molecule: ribosomal RNA, 250 nt
Filed under: uncultured prokaryote
Description: partial 16S ribosomal RNA
Rfam family: Bacterial small subunit ribosomal RNA
Source: RNAcentral
UACAUGGGGGGCGAGCGUUAUCCGGAUUUAUUGGGCGUAAAGCGUGCGUAGGCUUUUUGUUAAGUCGAAUGUGAAAUGUCGAGGCUCAACCUCGUCCUGCAUUCGAUACUGGCAUAAUAGAGUAUGGUAGAGGUAAGUGGAAUUCCACAUGGAACGGUAAAAUGUCUAGAUAUGUGGAGGAACACCAGAGGCGAAGGCGGCUUACUAGGCCAGCACUGACGCUAAGGCACGAAAGCGUGGGUAGCAAACA